This 208-nucleotide unclassified non-coding RNA is filed under the name Hevea brasiliensis (rubber tree). The record is from RNAcentral. Lineage: Eukaryota; Viridiplantae; Streptophyta; Magnoliopsida; Malpighiales; Euphorbiaceae.
UCCUUAGAAAACAAAUGCCCAGGGCCAGUAGCACCAAGGAUAUAACUACGGGAAUAAUAAUGGCAGCAACUAUCUGUACUGAGAUCUGUCUUUUUCCUUUACCUUUUGUUGUUGAAGGUGAGGGUACUGGAACAGUGGUAUUGACUCGGUAGAACGGAAACAGUUCGUACCUAAUAACACAGCUUGGAAGCAGAACCUUUCCACCUCG